UCCUAACCUGAACCUCUUCUUCCCUUACCUCGCUGAUGCACCUCCUCCUCUCAACCUCCCUCUUGCUGCUACUUUUAUCCCACUGCUGAGUCUCUCCUCCUCUCCAAAUUGCUGCUGAUGCUCCUUCUCCACUCUGAACUGCUGCUCCUCACCUUCAACUAGUUGUUGUUAAUCUCUCUCUCUCAAUCUCCAUCUGAAAUUGUUGUACUGUUCAGAGGUGUAAUACUUUGUAUUGUUCAGAUUCUAAGUGUACUUGCUCCCCGUACUAGCUAAUUUUACUACUUGUUUUUAGUUGUUUAGUACGUACGAUUUUGUUCAUCUGUGAGUACCAGUCUAGUGGCUUGUUAAUUUUGUUUGUGUUUUCAUUUGUGUAAUUUGAAUCGUCGUGUAGUACCUUCUUCAUAUACGUGUGGUUAUGUGUGUUCU
This 426-nucleotide long non-coding RNA is filed under the name Hordeum vulgare. RNAcentral describes it as "long non-coding RNA (HVUL_LNC000979)". The record is from RNAcentral. Lineage: Eukaryota; Viridiplantae; Streptophyta; Magnoliopsida; Poales; Poaceae.